CUCAAAUCCUCAAAUUGAUACUCUGGUUCGUCGGGUUUCUCUCGUCUCGAGAGCCGGCAAGAUUAGUUUUUUAGGUUCUCAAUCAACUUGGCAUCAAACUCCAAAGCACGCGGGUGGCCCGAAAGUACCCCCUCGCGAGUCGCGAGUGUUCUUGAUGUAUGUGGCAUCAACUAUUGCGAUUUUUCGAAUUUGAUCGAGCUUUUCAAUCCCAAAACUCAGUUAUACUC
Camelina sativa (false flax) is the source of this 227-nucleotide non-coding RNA. NCBI's taxonomy places the organism in Eukaryota, Viridiplantae, Streptophyta, Magnoliopsida, Brassicales, Brassicaceae. The record is from RefSeq and is a predicted model, not a curated record.